GACAGAGGGUGCAACCGUUGUUCGGAAUUACUGGGCGUAAAGCGUGUGUAGGCGGUCUCUUAAGUCGGAUGUGAAAUCCCCGGGCUCAACCUGGGAACUGCAUUUGUGACUGCAUGGCUGGAGUGCGGCAGAGGGGGAUGGAAUUCCGCGUGUAGCAGUGAAAUGCGUAGAUAUGCGGAGGAACACCGAUGGCGAAGGCAAUCCCCUGGGCCUGCACUGACGCUCAUGCACGAAAGCGUGGGGAGCAAACAGG
RNAcentral lists this ribosomal RNA (253 nucleotides) under uncultured bacterium. RNAcentral's name for it is "partial 16S ribosomal RNA". It matches the Rfam family "Bacterial small subunit ribosomal RNA", at positions 524 to 776 of the family's 1533-position model. The record is from RNAcentral.